CUCCACUUGCUUUCUGCUACAGCUAGCAUAGCCUGUCAUGAAUGCUAGGGCUAGCCAGCCUUGGCAUGAUGGUGUAUGAAUAGAUUUCCUAUAAUGUUCAGCCUCACAGCCAGCUGUCACUUCUGCUGCAAACAGAGGUUCCCAUCAUCAGAGACAAAACCAAAGGAGACACGUACAGAACAACUGGACCAUGUUGUUCUGAUUUGGAGCUUGCU
This is a long non-coding RNA of Gambusia affinis (western mosquitofish), 215 nucleotides long. RefSeq lists it as uncharacterized. The record is from RefSeq and is a predicted model, not a curated record. The transcript is spliced from 3 exons. Lineage: Eukaryota; Metazoa; Chordata; Actinopteri; Cyprinodontiformes; Poeciliidae.